AGAGUUUGAUCCUGGCUCAGAAUGAACGUUGGCGGCGUGGAUUAGGCAUGCAAGUCGAACGGGCCGCAAGGCCAGUGGCGGAAGGGUGAGUAAGGCGACGGUAACCAACCCCAUGGUUGGGUAUAGCCGCGGGAAACUGCGGGUAAUCCCCAGCGACGUCCGAGCCGGGCAUCCGGCGCGGACCAAAGUCCUGGCGCCGUGGGACGGGCCGUCGUGGUAUUAGGUCGUUGGCGGGGUAAUGGCCCACCAAGCCUCUGAUGCCUACCGGGCGUGCGAGCGCGACCCGGCACACUGGGACUGAGACACUGCCCAGACUCCUACGGGAGGCUGCAGUCGAGAAUCUUCGGCAAUGGGCGCAAGCCUGACCGAGCGACGCCGCGUGGAGGAUGAAGGCCUUCGGGUUGUAAACUCCUGUCGAGGGGGAGGAAGGUCGGGCAACCGGCUUGACCGAUCCCUGGAGGAAGCACGGGCUAAGUUCGUGCCAGCAGCCGCGGUAAGACGAACCGUGCGAACGUUAUUCGGAAUCACUGGGCUUAAAGCGCGUGUAGGCGGAUGGGUACGUCGGUCGCUGAAAUCCCCCGGCUCAACCGGGGAACGGGCGCCGAAACGACCCGUCUCGAGGGACGUAGGGGGACCUGGAACUUCCGGUGGAGCGGUGAAAUGCGUUGAGAUCGGAAGGAACGCCCGUGGCGAAAGCGAGGUCCUGGACGUCUACUGACGCUGAGACGCGAAAGCUAGGGGAGCGAACGGGAUUAGAUACCCCCGUAGUCC
Molecule: ribosomal RNA, 771 nt
Filed under: uncultured bacterium
Lineage: Bacteria
Description: bacterial SSU rRNA
Rfam family: Bacterial small subunit ribosomal RNA
Source: RNAcentral